CUACCUGACUCAGAUGAACUAGUUAGCCUGACACUGGCGGAGUUUGAUCAUCUAAUUACGAAGAAAAAGGUAUGUUUUGUUCUCUGGUGGUUUCUGUCAUCAGCAAACAUAAAGGAACAUUUGUAAUAUGUUAAUAUUUUCAUGAGGAACUGAUGUGACAUUACAAUUUCUAUGGACACAACCAAUCAAAAGUUGAAAAUAAUUCUGCAAUAACUUGGUGUCUUUCUUUUGAUUACAUCGUGCUCAUGCAAGAAUUGCUCAAUUUUAGUUCUUAUUAAAAGUGUACUAUGAAAGACAUUUCUGUACUGACUUUGUUGUCUGCCUGUCGUGGACUGCAUAUUUAAAGAUAAGCUAUCCCAUAUGGUGUUCAUUUAGUCUCUUACUCAUACUUUGAAAAAUAUUAAACCUGUCUUUAUGGUAUGAACAUUGUAUGUUCACUUUGUUUGCAGGUUGAAAAGAAAGAGGACAUCAUUGAUGUGGUUAACCCAUGUACAAAAAAGGAGAUUCUAGCAUAUGGAGACUCCAAUAUGCGAAAUCUUCAACGUGGAGAGAUAUUGCAGCUGGAGAGAAAGGGAUAUUUCAGGUGUGAUGUACCCUUCGUUCGUCCUUCAAAACCAAUUGUGUUAUUUUUGAUCCCAGAUGGCAGGCAGCAGACAAGUUCUAAGUAAAAACAUUUUGUUCUUUGAAUUACAAAUUGGUAAUUUGGAUAACUUUGUGGAACUAUUUUAAUGUGUACAACACUGUACACCAACCAUUUGUGCUAGACUUUGGUAGCAAGUCAAAGCGAUAUGGAAUCAUUUUAUAGUUAAUUGAUUUAUUAUUAACAUAGGAUUUAUGAUUUUGCUUUGGCGGAUUGUGAAUUUCUAUUUUGAGGCCAACACAUAAUUGUAUAUAAUUUAAGGGUGGGGUUUAUUUAUUUCUGGAGCAAGUAUAUACAAAUUUAGUUUAAUACUUAUUUUGUCAAUGGGAGAGUUUGGAUGGCAAGUAUUUAUAGUUGUUUUACUAUUCCCUCUCAGUGGAAUAAGUAUAAGGCAGGAAUAACAACUUAACAAGUCAAGAGAAUACCAUCGUUGCUGGUUUGAUUAACAAACUUACUUCUAAAUUUAAUUUCAAUUAUUAUGCAAAUGAAAAAAAAGCUAAUUUGUUAACAUAAGAAUAAGAAAAAGACAUAAAUGACGGAAGUGUUAUAACUAAAUAAAUUAAAGAAUAAAAAAAUAUUGAUUUCUAUAUGUAAGACUAUAUUUUAAAAGUUGCGAGUCUUCUAAAGAAUUUUUAUAAUAAGAAAUUAAAUUAUGAAACAACGUGGUGCUAAACAAGGAAGUACCUUUUUAAGACAAGAAACGAGAUUUAAAUGAGUUGGUCGGACAUUUGAGGGAUGCAGACGAGCAUCCAAACAUAGGCUUAGAAAAGUGUUGGGAUUUUUUUAGAGAGAAGCAAUUCUAAUUUUCA
Molecule: long non-coding RNA, 1449 nt
Filed under: Cicer arietinum (chickpea)
Lineage: Eukaryota; Viridiplantae; Streptophyta; Magnoliopsida; Fabales; Fabaceae
Description: long non-coding RNA (CARI_LNC000980)
Source: RNAcentral